Molecule: ribosomal RNA, 253 nt
Filed under: uncultured bacterium
Lineage: Bacteria
Description: partial 16S ribosomal RNA
Rfam family: Bacterial small subunit ribosomal RNA
Source: RNAcentral
UACAGAGGUGGCAAGCGUUGUUCGGAAUUACUGGGCGUAAAGGGCGCGUAGGCGGUUCGUUAAGUCCUGUGUGAAAUCCCCCGGCUCAACUGGGGAACUGCACAGGAAACUAGCGGGCUUGAGUUCGGGAGAGGGAAGCGGAAUUCCCGGUGUAGCGGUGAAAUGCGCAGAUAUCGGGAGGAACACCAAUGGCGAAGGCAGCUCGCUGGGACGUUACUGACGCUGAGACGCGAAAGCGUGGGGAGCAAACAGG